CCUAGAUGCUUUCAGUUUUAACUAUUCACCAAUGGUGGAGAAGGCAGAAUGCCUAAGCUAUGUCUGGGCGGCCAAUAGGAUAGCUGGGUAUCUCCCACAUGACUCGCUGCCCCUGUCUUUCACAUGGGCUGUAAUUUAGUUCAAUUCAGAACUGCAGAUAGUACAGCUUUCACAGGAGCAGGGGAUGCCUGAGCACAAGUGGCUGAGUUCCGAGUGACUUUAGGAAGCACUUUCCUCCCUCCCUCCUGCCUGAGAACGGGGAUUCUGCACCUGCAUCAGGGACAGUCUGGCAAAAGCCUCUGCCAUGCCUCGGGGGACAAGGAACUAGCACAAAUAACCGUUUUGAAAUUGGAUCUUGGCAAAAUUAACGACAAAUCCAUAAAGGAAACCGAAGGCAGUUUGAGCUUCAUCUUCGAUGACAAUCCCACCAAAGUUGAAGAAAUAUGUUACGUCUCUAAAGAAGAGCAUGGCUGUGCCCUAAAGUUAGGACGUGAUGGUGAUACUUACAGACACUGGAAAGUCAGCAGAAUUCUGAGUCUGAGGGUUGCUUCAGUGAACAUUCAACGCUGUCGGUGAGUUUGGAAUUAAAAUCAAAACCAUCGACCGUUGAUUGUGCCCUGUGGCUAGCCAUCCUCUCCUCCAUGGCUUCCAGAACUCUCUGAAGACAGGAAACCAAAGCAGGACACACCAGGAUGUUCUCUUCCCCCUGCAGAGAUUAUUUUAAGAAGGUCACAAUCAACAUUCAUUGCUGUCGGUGGGUUGAACUGUGCGGACAAGCUCACUGGACAAUGAAUGCAACUGUGGCCCCGCUUUUUGCAGUCACAACGAAGGGAUAGUCCAUCUUGGAAAGAUGUAUUGAAAGUGGUAAAUAUCAUUCUUUAGCCCUCCAAUCUGCAGAGUCUUCAGGCUUCUGUAUCCAAUUUUUAUCAUAUGAUCAGAUUUGGAUGAAAAAGGCACUCGUUUAGACAAGAAUAAUACUUAUUUACAUUUCUGCAUGUUAUACACAGAGCACUUUUUUAGUAGGUAAACUAUUUAUUCAUGGAAUCUAUACAUAACCAUCUAAGAUGACACAGCUUCCUACUGUUGCUGCGUCAGUGAGAAAGAAGACAGGAAGCAGCACCUCAGCACCCAGCUCACUGGGACCCACGCCCUUCGAAUCAUAACAACAGCACUUACCAAUUC
Molecule: long non-coding RNA, 1182 nt
Filed under: Equus caballus (horse)
Lineage: Eukaryota; Metazoa; Chordata; Mammalia; Perissodactyla; Equidae
Description: lncRNA (ENSECAG00000049085.1)
Rfam family: mir-181 microRNA precursor family (bases 545-627)
Source: RNAcentral